AGGUGUGGGAUGUGGUGCACUGUU
Molecule: microRNA, 24 nt
Filed under: Salmo salar (Atlantic salmon)
Lineage: Eukaryota; Metazoa; Chordata; Actinopteri; Salmoniformes; Salmonidae
Description: ssa-miR-92b-5p
Gene: ssa-miR-92b-5p
Source: miRBase by way of RNAcentral